CAAUCUGCCCUGCACUCUGGGACAAGCCCUGGAAACGGGGUCUAAUACCGGAUACUGAUCCUCGCAGGCAUCUGCGAGGUUCGAAAGCUCCGGCGGUGCAGGAUGAGCCCGCGGCCUAUCAGCUAGUUGGUGAGGUAACGGCUCACCAAGGCGACGACGGGUAGCCGGCCUGAGAGGGCGACCGGCCACACUGGGACUGAGACACGGCCCAGACUCCUACGGGAGGCAGCAGUGGGGAAUAUUGCACAAUGGGCGAAAGCCUGAUGCAGCGACGCCGCGUGAGGGAUGACGGCCUUCGGGUUGUAAACCUCUUUCAGCAGGGAAGAAGCGAAAGUGACGGUACCUGCAGAAGAAGCGCCGGCUAACUACGUGCCAGCAGCCGCGGUAAUACGUAGGGCGCAAGCGUUGUCCGGAAUUAUUGGGCGUAAAGAGCUCGUAGGCGGCUUGUCACGUCGGUUGUGAAAGCCCGGGGCUUAACCCCGGGUCUGCAGUCGAUACGGGCAGGCUAGAGUUCGGUAGGGGAGAUCGGAAUUCCUGGUGUAGCGGUGAAAUGCGCAGAUAUCAGGAGGAACACCGGUGGCGAAGGCGGAUCUCUGGGCC
Molecule: ribosomal RNA, 600 nt
Filed under: Streptomyces enissocaesilis
Lineage: Bacteria; Bacillati; Actinomycetota; Actinomycetes; Kitasatosporales; Streptomycetaceae
Also listed under: 1 other name
Description: bacterial SSU rRNA
Rfam family: Bacterial small subunit ribosomal RNA
Source: RNAcentral